CCUACGGGCGGCAGCAGUGGGGAAUAUUGCACAAUGGGCGAAAGCCUGAUGCAGCAACGCCGCGUGAGCGAUGAAGGUCUUCGGGUCGUAAAGCUCUGUCCUAAGGGAAGAAUACUGACGGUACCUUAGGAGGAAGCCCCGGCUAACUACGUGCCAGCAGCCGCGGUCAUACGUAGGGGGCUAGCGUUAUCCGGAAUUACUGGGCGUAAAGGGUGCGUAGGCGGCCCUUCAAGGCAGAGGUGAAAGGCUACGGCUCAACCGUAGUAAGCCUUUGAAACUGUAGGGCUUGAGUGCAGGAGAGGACAGUAGAAUUCCCAGUGUCGCGGUGAAAUGCGUAGAUAUUGGGAGGAACACCAGUUGCGAAGGCGGCUCUCUGGACUGUAACUGACGCUGAGGCACGAAAGUGUGGGGCGCAAACAGGCUUAGUGACCCGAGUAGCC
This 440-nucleotide ribosomal RNA is filed under the name uncultured bacterium. Its description in RNAcentral is "bacterial SSU rRNA". It matches the Rfam family "Bacterial small subunit ribosomal RNA", at positions 338 to 795 of the family's 1533-position model. The record is from RNAcentral.